Long non-coding RNA from Syngnathus typhle (broad-nosed pipefish), 786 nucleotides. RefSeq lists it as uncharacterized. Lineage: Eukaryota; Metazoa; Chordata; Actinopteri; Syngnathiformes; Syngnathidae. The transcript is spliced from 2 exons. The record is from RefSeq and is a predicted model, not a curated record.
UAGCCGCUCUGUGCGCGUUUCAGCUGGGCGCAGGCGCACUGGGAGCGGCGGCGGCAGCGCCGGUACACCUGUGCACCCAAGCGGCCAUUACAUUAGCCUCGUUUGAUCUCGAUGGUGAGGAUCUUGUCCUCCGUGCGCAUGGUCCUGCCGUCUGGAUUCAGCCGUUUGCGAGAAAUCUUCAUCCGUUUGGUGCAACCGUGGAAGACCUCCUCCAGGGAGACCCUGAGCUCGUGGACGAUGGCCGGGUCCUGUUUGCGCCGCUGCUUCUGCUGCUGCUGUUGCUGCCCGCCUGGGCCGGAGUGCACGUCCCGGGGAAAUCCGUUCAGGUUGAAGCUGCUGAAGGAACCGAAGGGGUCGUUUCCAUCCACCUCCAUGUCCUCGUCGUCACGCCCGUUUCCUGCUUUGCGCCCGAAGAACAUCUCAAAGGGGUUGGAGCCGCCAAAAAAGGUGGCAAAAGUGGCAUGGGGGUCUCCAUGGAAGGUGUAUGUAAAGGUGUUGCCUUGGUUGUCGCCAGUGGGACCGCUUCCUCCCUUGAGACCUUAAAGACAAACUCACAUCAGACAUAGUUGCUAUUCUCCUUCUUAAAAGACACAGUAGGCCAGUUUUGUCACAACUAUGUAUCACAAUUUGUCACAGUAUCAAUUUUUUUUUCUCCUAUCCAUAUGUUACUCCAGAAUGCACAAUAUUUUGUUCCACACCUUGUCAAAACUGAUCAAUAAUGGAUACUUGUGUAUCAAAGCUGUCCCGUGGCAGGAAAAAAAUAUGAAUAUAAAUAUUUUGUCACAA